UACGUAGGGAGCGAGCGUUACUCGGAAUCACUGGGCAUAAAGGGCGUGUAGGCGGAUGCGUAAGUCCGAUGUGAAAUCCACCGGCUCACCCGGUGAAGUGCAUUGGAUACUGCGUGUCUGGAGUGUGGGAGAGGAGAGUGGAACUCUUGGUGGAGCGGUGAAAUGCGUAGAUAUCAAGAGGAACGCCGGUGGCGAAAGCGGCUCUCUGGCCCAUUACUGACGCUGAGGCGCGAAAGCUAGGGGAGCAAACGGG
RNAcentral lists this ribosomal RNA (253 nucleotides) under uncultured bacterium. RNAcentral's name for it is "partial 16S ribosomal RNA". It matches the Rfam family "Bacterial small subunit ribosomal RNA", at positions 524 to 776 of the family's 1533-position model. The record is from RNAcentral.